This 266-nucleotide ribosomal RNA is filed under the name uncultured Staphylococcus sp. RNAcentral describes it as "partial 16S ribosomal RNA". It matches the Rfam family "Bacterial small subunit ribosomal RNA", at positions 96 to 355 of the family's 1533-position model. Lineage: Bacteria; Bacillati; Bacillota; Bacilli; Caryophanales; Staphylococcaceae. The record is from RNAcentral.
CGGCGGACGGGUGAGUAACACGUGGGUAACCUACCUAUAAGACUGGGAUAACUUCGGGAAACCGGAGCUAAUACCGGAUAAUAUUUCGAACCGCAUGGUUCGAUAGUGAAAGAUGGUUUUGCUAUCACUUAUAGAUGGACCUGCGCCGUAUUAGCUAGUUGGUAAGGUAACGGCUUACCAAGGCGACGAUGCGUAGCCGACCUGAGAGGGUGAUCGGCCACACUGGAACUGAGACACGGUCCAGACUCCUACGGGAGGCAGCAGCC